This 253-nucleotide ribosomal RNA is filed under the name uncultured bacterium. RNAcentral's name for it is "partial 16S ribosomal RNA". It matches the Rfam family "Bacterial small subunit ribosomal RNA", at positions 524 to 776 of the family's 1533-position model. The record is from RNAcentral.
GACGUAGGGCGCGAGCGUUGUCCGGAUUUACUGGGCGUAAAGAGCGCGCAGGCGGUCGGUCAAGUCGAGUGUGAAAGCCCCCGGCUCAACUGGGGAGGGUCACUCGAUACUGAUCGACUUGAAGGCAGGAGAGGGAAGCGGAAUUCCCGGUGUAGUGGUGAAAUGCGUAGAUAUCGGGAGGAACACCAGUGGCGAAGGCGACUCCCUGGCCUGUUCUUGACGCUGAGGCGCGAAAGCUAGGGGAGCAAACGGG